AAAGUACUCCCUCCGUCCCAAAAUUCUUGUCUUAGAUUUGUCUAGAUACGGAUGCAUCAAGUCACAUUUUAGUAUUAGAUACAUCCGUAUCUAGACAAAUCUAAGACAAGAAAUUUGGGACAGAGGGAGUAGUUG
This is a non-coding RNA of Triticum aestivum (bread wheat), 135 nucleotides long. The record is from Rfam. Lineage: Eukaryota; Viridiplantae; Streptophyta; Magnoliopsida; Poales; Poaceae.